AACCUCGACUCCUUAACCCUCCGAUCUAAACAUCAGUCUGAGUGGCUGUAAAAGGAGGCAAAAAAAAACUGAAACAGACUUGAAUUCUUUCAUGACAUACAAGUUGGUUUCCCCUAAUA
This 119-nucleotide small nucleolar RNA is filed under the name Echinops telfairi (small Madagascar hedgehog). Its description in RNAcentral is "Small nucleolar RNA SNORA61 (ENSETEG00000025928.1)". The record is from RNAcentral. Lineage: Eukaryota; Metazoa; Chordata; Mammalia; Afrosoricida; Tenrecidae.